Non-coding RNA from Paramisgurnus dabryanus, 922 nucleotides. Lineage: Eukaryota; Metazoa; Chordata; Actinopteri; Cypriniformes; Cobitidae. The record is from RefSeq and is a predicted model, not a curated record.
AAAAGCGCGUGUAUAUCCUGCUUAUUGUCCGCUGUUGUGAGGUAAACGCAUGGAUGAUGCUGUUCACUGCACCGUGGCAGUGCUGAUGCUGGAAGAUGCCACGCGUUUCCUCGCCCUCCAGUGUGGUGGAGCAGAGUCAUAUCCUGAGGUAAAAUAGUUGCUGCUUAAAUAGAAAACGAUGUGACCCCGCCCACUGAUUCGAGUGGGCAUGCGCAGUGUGGCCAAAAGCUCAGAUUGAACAUUCUUUGGUCAGAGGGAUGGAUGGACAAUAAAGAGAUUGAUGUCACCUUUAGCCUAUAGAGGGCAGUGAUGAGUGACCUGCUGGACCAGGGAAACAGCAGUGCAGAAUAACAUUGCAUGGCUUUGCAUUUCCUCACGGAUGUCCUGUAAACCCGACACCAGCGUCAGUCUCCUGUUACAGCCUUCGUCCUAACUCAGCAGAAUCCAGUGUGAACUCUUAUGUUUCCUCUUAUAUCCUGUAUAAGGAUGAUGGUGUUUGUAUGAUUCUAAAACCUUAUUGGACAGCGUUUCACACAUGCACACACAUUUCAGGGCCACGGCGUCCUUAGACAUCAAUCCAUUCUCUAUUCUGCUUAUCCCUAUUGCUGUCAUGGGAAAAAUGUCACAAGCAAUUUACAGAACGCAACAUACAGUAUAGCAUGUUUAAACCUGUGUUCAUGUUUCAUGAUGACCAAUUUGUUAUAUUUUGAAAAGAUAUUAAUAACCUGUUUGACCCGGUUUCAAUAAUUUAUGAAUACAAACCAUAAAAUACAGCAACUGCGUAAGUGCUUCACAAUUGCAAUGUCCAGUAGGUCAUUUAUUAAUGAAUCUAUAUGCAUAAAUCAAUGUUUAUGUUAAUAAACUCUGCAUUCGUAACAUUUGUAAAGGCAUGUGCAUCAUUAAAAUGUAAAUGUAACAGUUU